This is an RNA transcript of Athalia rosae (coleseed sawfly), 10002 nucleotides long. RefSeq lists it as uncharacterized. The record is from RefSeq and is a predicted model, not a curated record. NCBI's taxonomy places the organism in Eukaryota, Metazoa, Arthropoda, Insecta, Hymenoptera, Athaliidae. The transcript has 8 exons.
ACUCUUCCUUUUGACAUAAUAAUUGACGUGAAUGUGAUAUUAUAAACUAAUCGCUUUUAAAUUCCCUAGUAUAUCAUUGGUCAUAAAAUAUGGCGUUGUCGAAUUUCCCGCACAAAAUCUAUCGAAUGUUGUAGCGAUGACAAUGAUAUUCGAUAAUCAACGAUAGCGAUAGUUGUCGAUACAAACUGUAACGACAGGUGCGAAAAAGCCACCAUGGAAUUCAUCACCGUGAUCCGACUAAUCCGUGCGGAUUUCAGUUAAUUUCUGGAGAUGUGGAAGCCUCGAGUGCGUCGAACGAGUUACAAGACGUAGAGGUAUGGUGUGUGCGUUGUUUCCUCGCAACUACAAUCUCCCGAUCUCGACACCCUCCAUUAAAAUGCUUUGUGAGAUUGCUGAUCACCUCCAACGGUCGCCCUUUGCGUGGCGUUAGCCGGAGCGUUGUUGUGAUCGUUUGUCGGAGGCGAAAUUCUUACCCGAAAUUCCGGUAACGAAGUAAAAAGCUCAAUAUUAUAGCCCGCUUCUCGAUCGAUUACACCCUUCGCGUCGUCGCUGGAAAUUUUAUGGACGUUUCUUCGAUCUCGAGCGUUUAUGUCGAGAUCGCACGCAGGAUACUCCCAUUACGCCGUUUGUUUACAAAUAUGGUUCCCCAUAGAAAUUUACUUUUCGUCCCUGACACUGUGAAAUUUCCCCAGGUACCCGAUUUUUCCGACUAGAGUUGCGUCGUGGACCCGAUUGUACGCGUUUUUUUUUUUUUACUUUAUUGCAGGUAUAGGCUGUGCAAAGUGUUUGAAUAUAUUGACAAAAAUUUUUCAUCAUUCAGCAGAUUCUAUCCACUGAAAAUGACUCAGCCAACACAGGACACGGACAUCACCAGUUCCAUUUCACCUCUGUUUGAUGCUCAACGCAAUGAUAUUUGCGAGUUCCCUCCAGAAUUUGGUACUUUAACGUCAUUCUCUGUAGAUCUGUGAACGAUCCCACGCGUUGUGCGUCAUGAGUUUUACAACAUUGUUUUGAAAAAACUUAUAGGAGACAACGUGAAGUUGGUGCAAGGACGACUUACCUCAUUCAUCAUGGAAGAGGUAUAUUUGGAAAAAUCAAAAUCUGAGUCCAACGCAACGGCUAGACAUCAAGGUUCCGAACUGGUUAAAUCUUUGGGCGAGACCUUCCCUUGGCUGAUUAAAUUCUCCAAAGUAAUACAGUCUACAGUCGGAAGUAAAAAUGCUAAGCUGCUCGACAGACUGCUGCUGGUAUAUAUCGAGAAUAUAUCGAGAGAUGUCAAUACCUGUUACACUAAGCCUUGCAGAGCAGCCAAAUUAAAGUCUCACGUGAGCGAAACUCUCAUCUUUUUUCACCUUUAUUGGAAAAAUAUCAAAGAGAGAGUCGACGACCACAACCAAUAUUUGGACAGAAUGUCCGAGAUCUUAGGAAUGUACGUAGACAUGGAGCUCAAGGCCUCUCGCAGAGGCAAGGAUUCGACUAUGAAAAUUGCUGCUAAACUGCUCUCUGCCAUGUUCAUAUAUCUGGAUAAUUCGGAAGAACAUAUAUUCAGAGUCUUGUUCAGAGUGAAACUCUUGACAAAAAACUACAGGGCGAUCUGCGAUCCUAUAUUCGAGAAACUGUUCGCUGGCUUCUCUGCGAAUACAAAAUGUAUCACCGAUGUGACUUAUGUUCGUUAUUUGCUGGCGUUAAAGUUAUGGAAAAAGAUGAAAGAUGAUGUGCAAGAAAAAAAGAAAAUCAACGAGCUCGCAGUCGCUAUUCUCGGUCAACAUGUUCCCUCCAUGCCUUCUGAGCUCUUGAAAAUCAUUGCGCAGCCACCCGAGUGUCAGAAAAAUGGAGCCUUGUGGCUGCUUCGGCCAAAUUCAUUUGAUUUGCGACAAGCUUGCGAUAGUUUCAUCAAAUAUGAGGUCAAUGAACACAUCAUUUUACCCAUGGAACCCAUCGAGAGAUUAAAAAUUAUUGACAGUACCGCCGUGCCCUCUACUCAAAGCUUUGAGUUUGUCGAUGGGUCACAAAGGAAAGAUGCUAGUCGCUGGAAAAGUGUGGACACAGAACCAGAGACAAAAGUGGCGAAUCGGGUAGAUGUGUCAGUGAGUGGCGAACAACCGGUCAAAAAAAUAGUGAAAUUGAAAAAAUUCAAACCAUUAUUCCCAAAGCUGAGACCUGGAGAGGUAGUUUUCAUUGAUUUGACGACGGAAAAUGAGGAGAACAAGCAUGGAGGUGGUAAGAAGGAUAAGAGGAAAAAUAAGAAGAAGCUACGCUGGUUAAAAGAGGUUCGAAAGAGAUCAAAGCUCAAGAAAGAACGUACAAGCUCCGGCAAAGUGUGGAUAGAAAAAGCCGAUGCGCAUAGCACUAGGAGUAACGAGGAGAGAACGAAGAGGACUGAGAUGAACUGGCCAAUUUCGGAAGACACGGUCACCGAAAGUACCAAUCGAAUCAAAAGUACAGUGCAAAGAACUGCCCACCGAUUCGCCAAGCGAGUGACAACCUUGAACGUCGACAGUUGCAGGGCGGACCAGGCUCAGAAUAAGUGCGAUAAGACCUGCAAAGGAUGUGACUCCUGUAGUUCGACAGAUGAAUUGAAUUAUAAGACCAAAAGACAAGAGGAUAUUGAGAGUCCAGAAAACUUUGUCACUUCCCAAUCAUCGCCGGUCAAGAACAACGCGAUGGUUUUGUGUAGUGGUGCGUUUGUGAAAAGUAAAAUCUUUCCGCAAUCGGAAAUUUUUGGCGAAGCCACGUCUUGCGAAAAGUUUGUUAGUAGCGUAAACCAAGACUCCGAAUACUCGAGAGGUUAUAAUUCUAAAGAUUCUUCUAACGUGGACCGAGUGGAACCCAUCCCAACCAGAAAACUAAUAAAACAGGAACCGCAGGAUAUUAUAAAAGAUAGUACAACUGAUAAAGACUGUGAUAAAAUAAUACUUACCGAUUCAUCUAGCUUUAAAAUAACCAGGGAGGUCGCCGGACACUCGAUGAAACGAAAUUCACCUUCAUCUGUCAUUAAGCUGGGGGCAGAAGAUACGGUUCUGUCGACAAGUUCAAAUCAAAGUAAACUUUUUAUUCCUACCGCUCGUGGAAAGCUGUCGAACAUUGAGGAGCCGUUCAACGAAACCUGUGUUGUGUCGACUACAGCUUCUUUUGUCGAGUCUGGCACCGAAGAACAAAUAAACGUAAUCUCAGGUUCGUCGAAUAUCCACAUGGGAACUCCAGAUUCCAGAGAUGACAUAAAUCGUAGAGAUUCAGAUCUACAUUUCAACAAUAUUAAUCGUGACGCCAAUCACGGUAAAAAAGAGGCGGCGAGAAUCUCAAAAAAACUAUUCUUGACCUCUAAAACGUGCAAUUCGGUGGAGACGAACAAAAAUUGCCAUAAGGACCCAGUCGGCAACACCCUCAACAGUAAAUUGCAACAGAGUCUAAUUCACGCUUUGUCUUUGGAUGAAAUUAUUCAAAUUGGCAGAGACGAUCUGGACUCUGAAUCGGAGAACGAAGAAAGAGAAGGAUCUCAAAGUACAGCGAUGGGUCAAUCGACAAUGCCCGAUCCGCAAAAACAAUCAGCUUUUGGCUAUAAAGAUAGUGAUUUCUUUCAAAUUCCCGAAAUGCAAUUGUGCGACGAUUUGACCAGCGGUAACGAAGUCGGCAAUCUUAUUACGGCGAGCAACAAAAACGAGGUUGACGAAUUCGAGAAUAUCGAUAUAUUGGACAGCAUUUUAAACGGAGACAUGAGCAUGCAGGAUAUCCUCGAAGAGCAACAACACCUGUCGAUGACCCCAGUGACCAAUGACCCAUCCAACAACAUGCUGGGUUUCUUCACCGAGUUCUUCAAGCAGCCCGAAUCGGCGCCACCAGCCAAAAAAAAUUGCGCCCCAGAUGAAACCUCCCAUUCGGACAAGCUGUCAAAAUCUUUACCCGAGGGCAGUCUGGGCACUACUGGAAUACUCAAUUCACUCCUCGAUUCAGAUUUGGCGAGUAUAGAUUCUCCCCCGAGUGAUUUCAUGUACUCGAAUGUUCAGACCAUCGAUCCAAGAUUAAUCAGAAAGUCCCCCACCGCAGAACGCGCCGCUUUUCUCAGUGACUUCAGCACGGUGUCCGAUCUAUUUUCCGAGAAAGAUGCGUCACCUCUGGGAAAUCUUGGGACAGCCGAAUCUCUGACCAGGAGUUCUAAAGAUCAGUUAUUUCUGGAUCAAAGGGACAACCUUGACGGUACAAAUCUGGAAGAGUUCGGGUUAAACACCAGUAAAGAAACCGACUUUGAAAUACCAGUGUUGGAAGAAGACCUGAUACAGCUUCCUCAGCAUCCGUUGAUCGACGAGACAAUGAUAACGCAUAUCUCACCACCGUCUUGCGAACCACCUUUGGCUACUCGCUCCGAAAUUAUGAAUCUGAAUGAAGCGAAGCCGGAGUUAUCUUCCUCUAGUAUUUUGCAGGAUUACAACCACCUUCAGUUUGCAGAAGAUAGUUAUCGCUGUCAAAAAAUGAUCAAUUCCAAGGGAUUCACGCCUCUGCGACCGAAGGACAGAGCACAGCAUCCUUCAAAGGAAACAGAUUCGGCUAGAGAUCUAUGCCCAAGUUCAUUGACGGACUUCACACCGCCCCAAAGCGUCGAUCCUCCGCAAUCCCCUCAUACUUUUGCCCCAUCUCCGGGGUCGGCUUAUGGUCAAACGGUCUCCCAUUCUCCCACACAUUCCAUUGGAACCUCUCGCCACCAAAUGUUCGCAAAUAUGUUGACGCCUCCGCCAAGUGUGUCGCAGUCUAAUCGUCGAAAUAAUUUGUCACCGCCUCCAACUCCGCAACAUAACCAAAAUCUGUUCUCCGAAGGUCUCGACCAACAGUUGGAAGUGGUUUAUUGUGCUAGAAGAAAUGUACAAGGAGGAUCCAGUCAUCAUCUGCUGAGUCAAUCUCAGGAUAAAAUGGGCUCAUAUUUCCGUGCCAUUUCGAGUGCUCAAAAUACAGACUCAGAGGCUGCACCAUCUUUGCGAAAGCAAGAUCAUUGCAAAAUGAUGAGACGAAAGCCACCAACUAAAGCGAUGUCUGUGGGCCGUUCUAAGAGAAAUUUGGAAUUGAGUACAGAGUCGAUGAAAUUGGAGGAGCAAGCGAUCACUACAAAUCAUGAGCAGUCCAUAUGUCUGGCGCAAGUUCAAGUUGCUUUGACAAGACUAACCAGCAAGGAAAUUAACACAAAGACUCACAGCGAACAAAGCAGACAAGAGGCAAACAUUCCAUUUAAUAAUGCACCACCGGCAACGACGAUAAAAGCAGCUCAGUGUCAAUUAAAAACGCAGAUCAAUGUACCUGAUUCUGUAAGCCACCCUUGUCUGCAGCGUAUAGACUUUCGAAAAUUCAGUAUAACCACGCAGCAGAAAAAGCCAGUAUUUGUAAAUCUGAAGGGAAAAACUAAACCGGCGUUGAUGUUUGAGAGGACUGCGCAAAAUGAUAAGUUGUUGAAAAGUUUCAACGAGGAUGUAAAUAGUCGUAAUAUUAUGUAUACAUUGACGUCUAACGUCGACCCUGCUACCUCGAAAGAAGAGCCAUAUUCCAAGCUUCCAAGAGUUAAUUUUACAAUGCAAAAUCAAACUGGCAUCGUCGACAAGUCACAGUCGACAAUUACCAGAUGUGCUACCGAUUCAGAAACUUGUAAAGAGACGCAGAACAUUACCAGACCGAGAUGUUCCAUGCGGCGCGUCAAGGCUCAGGCCAACAAGUCUAUCGUCGAACAGAGUUCUCGAAAGGCAUUCAUAAUUCCCAACACCGAAGAACCUUCUUUGAAGAAACGUAAGAUGACUCCGAAGUUGCUGCCGUUGCUGGAAAAGGAAGGCAUUAUCUACACCGUUCAACAAACUCCACUAGACAAACAUUCGAACGUUUUGAGAAGAGGUAAUUCGCAAGUACAUCAAACGUACACCUCGAUAAAAAAUCAAAUCACAUUAACUUCCAUUUUAUACGUAGAUCGCUUCACGUGCUGUUAUUUCAUUUUUUUUUGUACAUUCGUAGUUGAAUUACAGUUGACAGUUAGUAAGUUUAAAUUUCGCGACGAUCGUCGUAUAUGGAGGAUAAGUUGAUUCGUAUGAAAUUGAUAAAAUCGUCGAAAUUUUUGGACGAUCACCUUUCGAUUCCACCGUUGAUCAAAAUUCGCGAAUAAAGAUUCACGCGAGGGACAAUCAUCACGGAAGAUUAAAAAUCUACAGAUACGAAGAUCCGGCAGCCGACCCUCACUGAAGAUACUUGUGCGUUUGCUGUAAUGCUUUCAGCUUAUUAUGUGAUCAAGUUCACAGCAAUGAUAACUCGAUAGCCAAUACACUAUUCUUAUAUCAAACAUGAGGUCGUGUUCAAAUGACAAAAAGCAGAGAAAAAGUAAAUGCAUGGUGCUUUUCUGCUUUUGUAAAGUCGGUAAAAAAUUAAACUUUCUUAAAGAUCAUAAAUCAGUCACGGAAGAUGAAGGAUCAAAAAGGUAAGAUCAAACGUUGAGAAAAUCUUAGGACAUUAUUUGUCGUGUGACGUGCAAGAAGUGCAGAAUAAUUUCAGGUAUUGAAGCGAUGUUUGUAAAAAGACUAACCUUGAACUGUAUUUCGGUGUCCACAGAUUUUGCCCGGAAAGAUAGAGCGAAAAAAAAAGUUGUCUGAUGGGUUCUUUGCCUGCACGAUGCGAGGCGGCACAUAAUCAAACCAGUGAACAUGUAAGACUACACCGUUGAGCUACCUUGUACGACAGUCAUCGAUAAACCAUAAUUCAGUGACGACGGCAAGUAUGUACAACUGUAAGAUUUGUUAUUAAACAACGCGAGUCACUGCGGUAGUCACAUUUUCUCAGUAAGCAAUUUUUAUCAUUCCAAAUAUUAUCUUUAUUAUUGUUAAAUUAUUUCAACGAUGUCGUUGCCUCUGUUCUUUAUCUUCUUACGCCUGCGGUAAGAAGAAUGUCUUAAUUUUUGAGAAAGAAAUACCAGAACGGUGCACUUGACCAUCGCGAUAAAGUGAAUACGAUCAAUUUAUUAUUUCACAACGGUAAACAAAAAUAUGUGAUAUACACUUAGACAUCAUUGUCGUAACUACUAGUAGAUCAGCUGUUUCACUUGUAAUGUUAUUUUCGUUUUUAUUUUCUUAGUUUUUCUUCUUUACCUCUCUGCGCCAAUUUGGUACAAAAUUAUAGAAAUAAUUUAUCGAUGGUUCAGGGUAUGAACGUCACUGAAUGUACAUACAUUUAGUUAUAGUUGUAAAUAGGCAACGAAACCGUGCGAAGAACGUGUAACGUGUGAUUAUACCGAUGAUCUCUCACAAAAAGUUUAGAAUUCCUCUUCGUAGUAUAGCACUGAGUUUGUACAUAAGAGCACCUAGUUUAUUUUAUUUCAUUUUUUUAUAGUAACGAUAUAAUUCGUGCGUAAUUUAAAAAUAUAAUGCAAGAAGAUGACAAGAACUUAAAUAGGAGAAAUAUUUUUUUCGUCUUGGAGAAAUAAUUUUAACUGAAAAUCAUUUUCAAAACUGAUAUUAUAAAUACAAAGUAAUACUAAAUAAUGUUUAAAUCUUUCCGUCUGCGUUAUUGUAUAGAUGAUUAUAGUUUAUCUGCAUGAAUACCGAUCGAUAUGCGUAUUAUAAAGAGUGAGCUCAAUUAAAAAAUGGUAAAAAAAUAACUCAUUUCCGUUCGGAUCAUCUCUUCAAACGUAGACAAGGAAAAAAUAUGUGAAUUUUAAGGACUGAUAUAUUUUGUACCUGUUGGUUUCUCUUUAACUCUUUGCCAUUUUUAUUUUUCUUGAAACUUUUCACAUGAAAAAGUCAUACUUGAAUUACCUGAGUUCAGAAGGACGUAGCUUAAGUACAUCGAAUCAUCAUUUUUGGGCAUUCAUAAUCGUAAUCGAUUCUGCCUCUGGUACACGAGGUUUGCAAUCGUAAACACAUGUUCUCCAAAGUCACCCACUCGACUAAUCAAUCCUAAUAAGCAAUAAUCUUUAGCCAUGAAAUUUCAUUCAUUUGGGGGUGAUCAGCAGCCCGUUGCGCCAGAUUAUAACGAAUACCGAAAGAACUAACCAAACAUGUCCAGUAGAUGUGUCCUUAACAAGGGUAGAAUAGAAUUUUGACGGUCUUACCUGUCAAAUUGGUUCAAAGUGAUUUUUAAAAAAUUCCCAAUCGCAUCGAUCUUCUGUGGAUUUCAAUCUUUCUAUCACCAUUGACCCGAUCAUUGGCUGAAAAAUUUGCAACUCUCAGAAAAUAUUGACAGCAACGACACCCUUCAGUUGGAUUUUUUUAGAACCAGUCACAAACAAUUUAAAAGCUAAGCCUCAAAGUUAAAAUUGGUCCAGUCGUGACACAGUAACCUUAACUUUAACCUUCUACCUAACACCUCAAACCUCUGGUUUAAAAUUAUGGUACAAAGGUUAAAAAUUUUCACACGACUAAUUAUUUUGUACAAAAAAGUCUCUCAUUUCUUAAGACCCGUCCCAUUAAAUUUUUUAAAUAUUCAGCUCUCCAAAUGAUUUUUUCUUUUUCUCACAGCGGUUUUUUGCAACUUAUGCAGAGCCAAUUUGAACCAUUUACCGUCGAAAUUCGAUUUUAUGUUUUCUAAGUCUAAUGUCUGGUGUCUGGUAACUGUUAUCGAACCAGAAAUUUUGUACAUCUACAUAUUAAUGUGGUUCGACAGAAACUUCUUUCAUCAGUUUUUAACGUGAAACCAAUCCUUUUUUGCCAGGAAAUUCUGGGUUUGCCGGUGUCGAUAUUUGUAUUUCCCGUCUGAACAAAUCUUGAAGAAUAUUUUUCAGUGCGUCAACUUUGGUGUUUUUCCCAAAAAGUAGAGAAAGAUUCAUCUACUCGAUUGCGUCAAGUCUCCCAAGUUUAUGUUACAGCAUAAAAUGCAAAAAAGUCGAUACCGGUGGAAGUGAACGAAAGAUUGUUUUUACAUUAAAAAUUAUUUUGGAAAAGUGUGAAAAUUAUAGAUGGGAGUAAAAAAGGAUCAUUUUUCUCUCUGGACUAUCCUAAGGCAUACGUAUAUUAGAAUCCUCUAGUAAAUUAAGAAGAAAAUUAAGUACAAGUAACGCGUAAGGCUAUUGUAAUACACCGCUAGCAAAAUUCUACUCAAUGAAAAAAAAAAAUGUACAUUGUUAUAAAAAAUCACACCGAUGAGCCGCAGUAACACUGUUUCCAACGUUACAUCGGCGCACAGUGUUUUCACUAGGGAUUAGCGUAUUUUAUAUAAUAUUAGUCAAGAACAAUAGCUAUCUUGUAGUAUAAACGUUGCAAUCCGUUUGCUUGAUCUUGUAACCGAUUCCAUUCGACUCGUUGAGUUUUUACCAUUCCCAUGAAUUCUCCGGAGCAAUGUAUCCAGCGACGACGUAUCAUUGACGUAGGGUUAUCCUAAUUUCUCUUGAAUAAUUUCUCUCUUCACUGACUAGCUACAUCGUCGAUGUAACUUACAACUGCACACAAUAGUGUCUAAGGGAUAAUUUUAAACUUUAUACGAUAAACAGUACAAAUAAUGUGAAGAAUACUCGCCGCGUGCGUUUACUGGGGUAUGAAAAAAAUCGAUCCGAAAUGGAAUUUAAAUCGAACGCUCGAGUCGACUUCGAGUCUGCGUUCUUCUUUUUUUUUAUCGAGGUAAAUGUGCGCGGUCUUCAGAUACUUCCGGCAUUUUUUUCCCCCACUCAUGUUCAUCGUGUUCUCACCCCCCUACCUGCCAUAUUUUAUUUAAGUUUUUAUAUUAUUUACAAACUAUGAGUAGAAACGAAUAGGCUCGUUACACACGACAUUGGAGCCACACGAUGCCACCUGAUAUUCGUCGGUAUCAGGAUUACCGAGAGGUUAAUACUUUUAAAAGCAAACGAGGAGGUUUUGGACUGUUCAGAAUAAUGGUUACCACACUAUACCCGAUGUAACACGCGUCGCGCCCAUUAUCGCUGCAUUUUUAUUUUAGGUACAAAGUAUUAUUAAGCCAUAGUAUUACCUACGAUCUAUGUUAGUUUUUCCAAACUGUACAACACUGAGACUGAAAGAAAAAUAAAUAUGCCAUUUUCCAUAAUAAUAAUAACAAUAA